CAAUAGCGUAUAUUAGAGUUGUUGCGGUAAAAAAGCUCGUAGUUGGAUUUCUGUUGAGAGCGACCGGUCCAUACCAUGUAUGCGUAUCUGGCUUGCUCUCGGCAUCCUCUCGAUAGACGUUACUGCGCUUGAUUGCGUGGUGCGGAUCUCGGGACUUUUACUUUGAGGAAAUUAGAGUGUUCACGGCAGGCUUUCGCCAGAAUACAUUAGCAUGGAAUAAUACUAUAGGAUCUUGGUUCUAUUUUGUUGGUUUCUAGAAUUGAGAUAAUGAUUAAUAGGGACAAUUGGGGGCAUUCGUAUCAACACGUCAGAGGUGGAAUUCUUGGAUUGUGUUGCGACGAACUACUGCGAAAGCAUUUGCCAAGGAUGUUUUCAUUGA
This 379-nucleotide ribosomal RNA is filed under the name uncultured eukaryote. RNAcentral describes it as "partial 18S ribosomal RNA". It matches the Rfam family "Eukaryotic small subunit ribosomal RNA", at positions 592 to 976 of the family's 1831-position model. The record is from RNAcentral.